This is a long non-coding RNA of Rhinichthys klamathensis goyatoka, 382 nucleotides long. RefSeq lists it as uncharacterized. The record is from RefSeq and is a predicted model, not a curated record. The transcript is spliced from 3 exons. Lineage: Eukaryota; Metazoa; Chordata; Actinopteri; Cypriniformes; Leuciscidae.
UAAUGUCGAGUGGGAAAACAUGUUCCGUUUUAGAUUGUUUCAAUGGCGGCAGUAAAAUUUCAAUUUGGAAGAUAAAACAUUGUGAGCUACAUAAAAUACCCCGGGUCGACUGCCCCUGUCUGGUGCCAUACGGUUUACACAGAUUUCCUGGGCGAGUACAAGACGCGGACAUUCGCCAGAAGUGGGCGAAAAAUAUAAACAGGCAGGGAUGGGUUCCUAAUAACAACAGCAGGGUCUGUGGGAUACACUUCCCUGAUGGCAGACCAACUAAAGAGCACCCAUACCCAGUAUUGCACAUGGGAUAUGAAACUCAUGCUGGACUUCUGCCAUCUGGUCGAGCCCCCCCCCAAAAGAAGAUGUGUUGAGCCCCUUACAGUCAACA